RNAcentral lists this long non-coding RNA (284 nucleotides) under Olea europaea (common olive). RNAcentral's name for it is "long non-coding RNA (OEUR_LNC009763)". The record is from RNAcentral. Lineage: Eukaryota; Viridiplantae; Streptophyta; Magnoliopsida; Lamiales; Oleaceae.
UCUCUCUGGUUCUUCGAGUUCUUCCUUCUUUGAGUCUGUAAAAUCAUUCUUUAAUGUAUAGUUUCUGCGAUCUGUAAUGGAGUUUAUAUUUUGGGUUAAUGAUCAGGCCUGAAAGAGUGGCUGAUCUUGUACUGUAAAACUCCUAUACGUUUGGUUGAUUUCGUGUGUGUGUGUUUCACGAGAUCUGUAGAUCGGUGACUGAAACUGUGAUUUCUGAGUGAUUCUUGAUGUACUCUUGCUCUCUUGGAAGGUCGAUUGUGCCAUAGUGGAACGGGCUGUCCCUG